Molecule: ribosomal RNA, 2906 nt
Filed under: Salmonella enterica
Lineage: Bacteria; Pseudomonadati; Pseudomonadota; Gammaproteobacteria; Enterobacterales; Enterobacteriaceae
Description: bacterial LSU rRNA
Rfam family: Bacterial large subunit ribosomal RNA
Source: RNAcentral
UUAAGCGACCAAGCGUACACGGUGGAUGCCCUGGCAGUCAGAGGCGAUGAAGGACGUGCUAAUCUGCGAAAAGCGCCGGUAAGGUGAUAUGAACCGUUAUAACCGGCGAUGUCCGAAUGGGGAAACCCAGUGUGAUUCGUCACACUAUCAUUAACUGAAUCCAUAGGUUAAUGAGGCGAACCGGGGGAACUGAAACAUCUAAGUACCCCGAGGAAAAGAAAUCAACCGAGAUUCCCCCAGUAGCGGCGAGCGAACGGGGAGGAGCCCAGAGCCUGAAUCAGCAUGUGUGUUAGUGGAAACGUCUGGAAAGGCGCGCGAUACAGGGUGAGAGCCCCGUACACAAAAGCGCACGUGCUGUGAGCUCGAUGAGUAGGGCGGGACACGUGGUAUCCUGUCUGAAUAUGGGGGGACCAUCCUCCAAGGCUAAAUACUCCUGACUGACCGAUAGUGAACCAGUACCGUGAGGGAAAGGCGAAAAGAACCCCGGCGAGGGGAGUGAAACAGAACCUGAAACCGUGUACGUACAAGCAGUGGGAGCACAGGUUUACCUGUGUGACUGCGUACCUUUUGUAUAAUGGGUCAGCGACUUAUAUUCUGUAGCAAGGUUAACCGCAUAGGGGAGCCGGAGGGAAACCGAGUCUUAAUUGGGCGUUAAGUUGCAGGGUAUAGACCCGAAACCCGGUGAUCUAGCCAUGGGCAGGUUGAAGGUUGGGUAACACUAACUGGAGGACCGAACCGACUAAUGUUGAAAAAUUAGCGGAUGACCUGUGGCUGGGGGUGAAAGGCCAAUCAAACCGGGAGAUAGCUGGUUCUCCCCGAAAGCUAUUUAGGUAGCGCCUCGUGAAUUCAUCUCCGGGGGUAGAGCACUGUUUCGGCCAGGGGGCCAUCCCGGCUUACCAAUCCGAUGCAAACUGCGAAUACCGGAGAAUGUUAUCACGGGAGACACACGGCGGGUGCUAACGUCCGUCGUGAAGAGGGAAACAACCCAGACCGCCAGCUAAGGUCCCAAAGUCAUGGUUAAGUGGGAAACGAUGUGGGAAGGCCCAGACAGCCAGGAUGUUGGCUUAGAAGCAGCCAUCAUUUAAAGAAAGCGUAAUAGCUCACUGGUCGAGUCGGCCUGCGCGGAAGAUGUAACGGGGCUAAACCAUGCACCGAAGCUGCGGCAGCGACACUGAUGUGUUGUUGGGUAGGGGAGCGUUCUGUAAGCCGUUGAAGGUGGCCUGUGAGGGUUGCUGGAGGUAUCAGAAGUGCGAAUGCUGACAUAAGUAACGAUAAAGCGGGUGAAAAGCCCGCUCGCCGGAAGACCAAGGGUUCCUGUCCAACGUUAAUCGGGGCAGGGUGAGUCGACCCCUAAGGCGAGGCCGAAAGGCGUAGUCGAUGGGAAACGGGUUAAUAUUCCCGUACUUGGUGUUACUGCGAAGGGGGGACGGAGAAGGCUAUGUUGGCCGGGCGACGGUUGUCCCGGUUUAAGCGUGUAGGUGUGUGUUCCAGGUAAAUCCGGUUCACUUUAACACUGAGGCGUGAUGACGAGGCACUACGGUGCUGAAGCAACAAAUGCCCUGCUUCCAGGAAAAGCCUCUAAGCCUCAGGUAACAUCAAAUCGUACCCCAAACCGACACAGGUGGUCAGGUAGAGAAUACCAAGGCGCUUGAGAGAACUCGGGUGAAGGAACUAGGCAAAAUGGUGCCGUAACUUCGGGAGAAGGCACGCUGACACGUAGGUGAAGUGGUUUACCCAUGGAGCUGAAGUCAGUCGAAGAUACCAGCUGGCUGCAACUGUUUAUUAAAAACACAGCACUGUGCAAACACGAAAGUGGACGUAUACGGUGUGACGCCUGCCCGGUGCCGGAAGGUUAAUUGAUGGGGUCAGCGCAAGCGAAGCUCCUGAUCGAAGCCCCGGUAAACGGCGGCCGUAACUAUAACGGUCCUAAGGUAGCGAAAUUCCUUGUCGGGUAAGUUCCGACCUGCACGAAUGGCGUAAUGAUGGCCAGGCUGUCUCCACCCGGGACUCAGUGAAAUUGAACUCGCUGUGAAGAUGCAGUGUACCCGCGGCAAGACGGAAAGACCCCGUGAACCUUUACUAUAGCUUGACACUGAACACUGGUCCUUGAUGUGCAGGAUAGGUGGGAGGCUUUGAAGUGUGGACGCCAGUCUGCAUGGAGCCAUCCUUGAAAUACCACCCUUUAAUGGCUGGUGUUCUAACGUGGGCCCGUGAACCGGGUUGCGGACAGUGUCUGGUGGGUAGUUUGACUGGGGCGGUCUCCUCCUAAAGAGUAACGGAGGAGCACGAAGGUUGGCUAAUCCUGGUCGGACAUCAGGAGGUUAGUGCAAUGGCAUAAGCCAGCUUGACUGCGAGCGUGACGGCGCGAGCAGGUGCGAAAGCAGGUCAUAGUGAUCCGGUGGUUCUGAAUGGAAGGGCCAUCGCUCAACGGAUAAAAGGUACUCCGGGGAUAACAGGCUGAUACCGCCCAAGAGUUCAUAUCGACGGCGGUGUUUGGCACCUCGAUGUCGGCUCAUCACAUCCUGGGGCUGAAGUAGGUCCCAAGGGUAUGGCUGUUCGCCAUUUAAAGUGGUACGCGAGCUGGGUUUAGAACGUCGUGAGACAGUUCGGUCCCUAUCUGCCGUGGGCGCUGGAAGAUUGAGGGGGGCUGCUCCUAGUACGAGAGGACCGGAGUGGACGCAUCACUGGUGUUCGGGUUGUCAUGCCAAUGGCACUGCCCGGUAGCUACAUGCGGAAGAGAUAAGUGCUGAAAGCAUCUAAGCACGAAACUUGCCCCGAGAUGAAUCUUCCCUGAGCCUUUAAGGCUCCUGAAGGAACGUUGAAGACGACGACGUUGAUAGGCCGGGUGUGUAAGCGCAGCGAUGCGUUGAGCUAACCGGUACUAAUGAACCGUGAGGCUUAACCUU